Molecule: ribosomal RNA, 1346 nt
Filed under: uncultured bacterium
Lineage: Bacteria
Description: partial 16S ribosomal RNA
Rfam family: Bacterial small subunit ribosomal RNA
Source: RNAcentral
GACGAACGCUGGCGGCGUGCUUAACACAUGCAAGUCGAACGGAAAGGCCCUGCUUUUGUGGGGUGCUCGAGUGGCGAACGGGUGAGUAACACGUGAGUAACCUGCCCUUGACUUUGGGAUAACUUCAGGAAACUGGGGCUAAUACCGGAUAGGAGCUCCUGCUGCAUGGUGGGGGUUGGAAAGUUUCGGCGGUUGGGGAUGGACUCGCGGCUUAUCAGCUUGUUGGUGGGGUAGUGGCUUACCAAGGCUUUGACGGGUAGCCGGCCUGAGAGGGUGACCGGCCACAUUGGGACUGAGAUACGGCCCAGACUCCUACGGGAGGCAGCAGUGGGGAAUAUUGCACAAUGGGCGGAAGCCUGAUGCAGCAACGCCGCGUGCGGGAUGACGGCCUUCGGGUUGUAAACCGCUUUCGCCUGUGACGAAGCGUGAGUGACGGUAAUGGGUAAAGAAGCACCGGCUAACUACGUGCCAGCAGCCGCGGUGAUACGUAGGGUGCGGGCGUUGUCCGGAUUUAUUGGGCGUAAAGGGCUCGUAGGUGGUUGAUCGCGUCGGAAGUGUAAUCUUGGGGCUUAACCCUGAGCGUGCUUUCGAUACGGGUUGACUUGAGGAAGGUAGGGGAGAAUGGAAUUCCUGGUGGAGCGGUGGAAUGCGCAGAUAUCAGGAGGAACACCAGUGGCGAAGGCGGUUCUCUGGGCCUUUCCUGACGCUGAGGAGCGAAAGCGUGGGGAGCGAACAGGCUUAGAUACCCUGGUAGUCCACGCUGUAAACGGUGGGUACUAGGCGUGGGGUCCAUUCCACGGGUUCCGUGCCGUAGCUAACGCUUUAAGUACCCCGCCUGGGGAGUACGGCCGCAAGGCUAAAACUCAAAGGAAUUGACGGGGCCCCGCACAAGCGGCGGAGCAUGCGGAUUAAUUCGAUGCAACGCGUAGAACCUUACCUGGGUUUGACAUGGAUCGGGAGUGCUCAGAGAUGGGUGUGCCUCUUUUGGGGUCGGUUCACAGGUGGUGCAUGGCUGUCGUCAGCUCGUGUCGUGAGAUGUUGGGUUAAGUCCCGCAACGAGCGCAACCCUUGUUCACUGUUGCCAGCACGUUAUGGUGGGGACUCAGUGGAGACCGCCGGGGUCAACUCGGAGGAAGGUGGGGAUGACGUCAAGUCAUCAUGCCCCUUAUGUCCAGGGCUUCACGCAUGCUACAAUGGCUGGUACAGAGAGUGGCGAGCCUGUGAGGGUGAGCGAAUCUCGGAAAGCCGGUCUCAGUUCGGAUUGGGGUCUGCAACUCGACCUCAUGAAGUCGGAGUCGCUAGUAAUCGCAGAUCAGCAACGCUGCGGUGAAUACGUUCCCGGGGCU